Molecule: long non-coding RNA, 926 nt
Organism: Cyanistes caeruleus (blue tit)
Lineage: Eukaryota; Metazoa; Chordata; Aves; Passeriformes; Paridae
Source: RefSeq, a predicted model, not a curated record
UGAAGACUUAGAACCAGAACUUAGUUCAGGUUAGAAGGGAGCUUAGCUGCCCAACACACAGCCAGCUUGGAGAUCAGAUAAGACUGCUCACAGUUUUAUCCAGCCAGUCGUUUUGCUCUUUCUGUAAGAUGGGCAGGGGAAAUUUGAGGGUAUAGCAGAAUAGCUUGGUUGGCCUGUGUGGGCAGAGAUCAUUAGAAAGGCAGGUGAUUGACUUGUUCAAAAUGUGUUAAUGGCAAUAAUCUUGAAUGAAGUGGCUCUGCUUCCAGCAGAGGAUAAUUAGCCUUUGCAUUUGAAAGGAAAUGAGCAGGAAAAGCAAUAAGCAUUAGGCAUGAGUCCCACUACCAUGCAGUUUCUAACUCUGGAAACCACAGCUUGCUUCAAGGAGUGUUGGCUUCAGUUGCAAGGGUAUGUCACUUCCUCAGAGCAGGCCAAAACUGAAGUGUGAACUGUAGAGUUCUGUGGCAUCACAAACUAUAGAGCUGUGGGGGAAGGGAAAGUGUAAAGGGAGAACCCACAUGAGAAACCAGUGGCUGUUUGGACUGCAAAGUGUCAGCAGGUGUCUGGUACAUUCUGCUUGCUGAGGGAAGCAGGUGGCUUAUUAUUCACAGGAGGAAAGAAAAAGAAAAGAUCUCUGUGACAAAAGUUCCGGAGAACCAGAUGAACAGAGGGACCUCUGGAGGUUUCAAGGAGAUGGGUUGUUCUUUUCCAAGAAGACAGAGCAUUUUGAAAGCUGCUAUUAUGGAAAUCACUGUCUGCUAAGCUGAGCACAGUGGGGAGUUCUCAGGAAGAUGAUUCUUCUGAAAAUGCCUGUGAAAUUCUGCUGAAAAUGUCUACACCAAAGCAAGGAGUAUUUCCUCUUGUUCCAUCCCAGCACAUGUACUGACAGAGUUGCAAAACCUGAAUACUUAAAAUCCUGACUGAACUGA